This 406-nucleotide ribosomal RNA is filed under the name uncultured bacterium. RNAcentral describes it as "partial 16S ribosomal RNA". It matches the Rfam family "Bacterial small subunit ribosomal RNA", at positions 30 to 526 of the family's 1533-position model. The record is from RNAcentral.
AUUGAACGCUGGCGGCAGGCCUCACACAUGCAAGUCGAACGAGUGGCGGACGGGUGAGUAAUGUAUGGGAAACUGCCCGAUGGCGGGGGAUAACUACUGGAAACGGUAGCUAAUACCGCAUACCAUCGGAUGUGCCCAGAGGGGAUUAGCUCGUUGGUGGGGUAAUGGCUCACCUAGGCGACGAUCCCUAGCUGGGCUGAGAGGAUGACCAGCCACACGGGAACUGAGACACGGCCCAGACUCCUAAGGGAGGCAGCAGUGGGGAAUAUUGCACAAUGGGCUCAAUCCUGAUGCAGCCAUGCCGCGUGUAUGAAGAAGGCCUGCGGGUUGUAAAGUACUUUCAGCGAGGAGGCGUUACUCGCAGAAGAAGCACCGGCUAACUCCGUGCCAGCCGCCGCGGUAAUAC